This 774-nucleotide ribosomal RNA is filed under the name uncultured Neocallimastigales. Its description in RNAcentral is "partial large subunit ribosomal RNA". It matches the Rfam family "Eukaryotic large subunit ribosomal RNA", at positions 20 to 616 of the family's 3401-position model. Lineage: Eukaryota; Fungi; Neocallimastigomycota; Neocallimastigomycetes; Neocallimastigales. The record is from RNAcentral.
UACUAGAGUAGCACUCGCAUAUCAAUAAGCGGAGGAAAAGAAACUAACAAGGAUUCCCCUAGUAACGGCGAGUGAAGCGGGAAGAGCUCAAAUUUGAAAUCUUAAAGGGUUUCCCUUUACGAAUUGUAGUUUAAAGAAGUAUUUUCUGUUGAGGUUUUGGUAAAAGUUCUUUGGAAUAGGACAUCAUAGAGGGUGAGAAUCCCGUAUUUGACCUUUACUUUCAACUUUGUGAUACACUUUCAAAGAGUCGGAUUGUUUGGGAAUGCAGUCCAAAAUGGGUGGUAAAUUUCAUCUAAAGCUAAAUAUUGGCGAGAGACCGAUAGCGAACAAGUACCGUGAGGGAAAGAUGAAAAGAACUUUGAAAAGAGAGUUAAACAGUACGUGAAAUUGUCAAAAGGGAAGCGUUUGACACCAGUGUUGUUUUUCUGAAAAUCAAUUAAAGAACUGUUUAUGCUAAGCUGUUUAGACUUUAUCAGCUAUCUGUUUAGUUUUAGGCUUUUCUUUAAUGCACUUUUCAGUUAACAAGUCAACAUCAAUUUCUUUUGCUGUAAAAAAGCUUGAGGAAGGUGGCUUGAGAUUCGUCUUAAGUGUUUAUAGCCUCUUGCCUAUGCAGUCGGAGAGAUUGAGGUCUGCAGCGUAGAUCCUUCGGGGCUAAAUGCAUUUGUGCUAAGUUAUAGCAUUUUAUAGACAACUUGUUGACUAUGAUUUGUCUUGUAGCUUACUCGCUUAUGUUAUUUUACCUACGCUUAGGAUGUUGAGCGCAUGUCUCUCUCU